GAUGAACGCUGGCGGCGUGCCUAAUACAUGCAAGUCGAGCGAACAGAUGAGGAGCUUGCUCCUCUGACGUUAGCGGCGGACGGGUGAGUAACACGUGGAUAACCUACCUAUAAGACUGUGAUAACUUCGGGAAACCGGAGCUAAUACCGGAUAAUAUAUUGAACCGCAUGGUUCAAUAGUGAAAGACGGUUUUGCUGUCACUUAUAGAUGGAUCCGCGCCGCAUUAGCUAGUUGGUAAGGUAACGGCUUACCAAGGCAACGAUGCGUAGCCGACCUGAGAGGGUGAUCGGCCACACUGGAACUGAGACACGGUCCAGACUCCUACGGGAGGCAGCAGUAGGGAAUCUUCCGCAAUGGGCGAAAGCCUGACGGAGCAACGCCGCGUGAGUGAUGAAGGUCUUCGGAUCGUAAAACUCUGUUAUUAGGGAAGAACAAAUGUGUAAGUAACGAUGCACGUCUUGACGGUACCGAAUCAGAAAGCCACGGCUAACUACGU
Molecule: ribosomal RNA, 496 nt
Filed under: uncultured bacterium
Lineage: Bacteria
Description: partial 16S ribosomal RNA
Rfam family: Bacterial small subunit ribosomal RNA
Source: RNAcentral